This 859-nucleotide ribosomal RNA is filed under the name Vimola sp. GD95. RNAcentral's name for it is "partial large subunit ribosomal RNA". It matches the Rfam family "Eukaryotic large subunit ribosomal RNA", at positions 366 to 944 of the family's 3401-position model. Lineage: Eukaryota; Metazoa; Arthropoda; Arachnida; Trombidiformes; Diptilomiopidae. The record is from RNAcentral.
AAAUAGAACUUUGCAGAGAGAGUUAACAGGGCGUGAAACCGUUAAUUGGCAAACGAAUCGGAGCCACGAAGUCGUUUCGCUGAGUUUGUGCGAGUUCAGCUACGAAGCCUCGGUUUCGUGGUGCAUUCUCGUGUAAACCUUUGUAAGCGUACACUGCAACCAGUUAGACGAUUGGAAAUGGGCCCAGUCGCUUGGGUUAGUAGUAGCAUCAUGGACUUCGGUUUAUGGUGUUGCUGGGCUCAAGUGAGUGAACUAUUUCCAAAUACUGACUGGCAAAAUGAAAAUCGCAAAUGCGUUAUACAAAACGCGGCAAACCACACAUGCGUCUACAUGCUCGACCAUGGGGUUUAAGCUCAGCAUUUUUGAAUUUAGACUUGCUUGCUACCAAUGGGGCAACUCUUGGUGCUUGUACAGCUUCUAUCUAAUCGGGUGUUGACUUGGCCUUAUGUUGUUUGGGUAUGCAACGAUUGGGCGUAUGUGCGAGCUUGUUCGCAAUGAUUGGCAGUGAGUAGGUCGGCUUUCCGAACGACCCGUCUUGAAACACGGACCAAGGAGUCUAAUUAGGCAUCAAGUCGAUCGGUCUUGAAUAGGCCAGACUGGUGAACUCUCACCGAUUGAAGGCGUAGAGACAUGUGAUCGUAUGUGCAAUUCCAGUGCUAGCGCGCAACAUGUGCCUGUUCGUAUAGCAAUGUAGCAAUAAUGCUGGGCGGAGCAAAGAGAUGCUUGAUUGGUACCCGAAAGAUGGUGAUGCUUGGGCAAGUUGAAGCCAGAGGAAACUCUGGUGGAGGACUGUAGCGAUUCUGACGUGCAAAUCGAUCGUCAGACCUGAGUAUAGGGGCGAAAGACUAAUCGAACCAUC